RNAcentral lists this ribosomal RNA (462 nucleotides) under uncultured bacterium. RNAcentral's name for it is "partial 16S ribosomal RNA". It matches the Rfam family "Bacterial small subunit ribosomal RNA", at positions 29 to 523 of the family's 1533-position model. The record is from RNAcentral.
AAUGAACGUUGGCGGCAUGGAUUAGGCAUGCAAGUCGGGGGAAUCCCAGCAAUGGGGGAACCGGCGUAAGGGGCAGUAAGGCAUGGGUACCUACCUUGGGGUUCGGGAGAGCCAUCAGAGAUGGUGGGUAAUACCGGAUGACGUCGUGAGACCAAAGAUUUAUCGCCCUUAGAGGGGCCCAUGUGAUAUUAGCUAGUUGGUGGGGUAACGGCCCACCAAGGCGAAGAUGGCUAGCGGGUGUGAGAGCACGACCCGCGCCACUCGCACUGAGACACUGGCGAGACACCUACGGGUGGCUGCAGUCGAGGAUCUUCGGCAAUGAGCGCAAGCUUGACCGAGCGAUGCCGCGUGAGCGAUGAAGGCCUUCGGGUUGUAAAGCUCUUUAGUGGGGGAGAAAAGCCGCAAGGUGUGAUCUAUCCCAAAAAUAAGCACGGGCUAAGUUCGUGCCAGCCGCCGCAGUAA